GCAAACUUGGUCAUUUAGAGGAAGUAAAAGUCGUAACAAGGUCUCCGUUGGUGAACCAGCGGAGGGAUCAUUAGAGAGUUCUCAUAAAACUCCCAAACCCCAUGUGAACCUACCUUCUGUUGCCUCGGCAGGUCGCGCCGGCGCCCAACCGCGUAGCACCCUACCCUGUAGGGCCUACCGGGGACGCGCCGGCGGCUCCCCUGCCGGCGGCCCACGAAACUCUGUUUAGCAUAUUGAAUUCUGAACGUAUAACUAAAUCAGUUAAAACUUUCAACAACGGAUCUCUUGGUUCUGGCAUCGAUGAAGAACGCAGC
This 314-nucleotide unclassified non-coding RNA is filed under the name uncultured fungus. RNAcentral describes it as "partial contains small subunit ribosomal RNA, internal transcribed spacer 1, and 5.8S ribosomal RNA". The stretch from base 1 to 73 matches the Rfam family "Eukaryotic small subunit ribosomal RNA", at positions 1759 to 1831 of the family's 1831-position model. Lineage: Eukaryota; Fungi. The record is from RNAcentral.